AUGCCCGCAGCCACCACACCUUCCAUGGCCUUGGUCCGCACCCGCCCCAGCUCGUGCCGGCUUUCCCUGCCCCAUCUCUUGCUGGCCGCCUACCUGCGCUGGCCGACCCACCUCCCACCUCUCACACGCCGGCACAACCACACGCCAUCAUCGCCGACAUGGAAGGCGGCCUCACCUCUCCACCUCCCUCGCCUGCCCCCUUUUCUAACCCAGCUUCGGCCGUCGACCCGUCGCAAUCUACGCUGGCUUCCGCUGCCACACCGUAGUCGUUUUCGUGGCUGCACCACCUUGUCCGUUCACAUCCGCCACCCUGGGUCGUUCAAUGACCCGGCGGCAAGCCGUUCGAGGUCGCAGCUCGAGAGGUGCCCGUCUCAGCUUUUCCCAACCUUCCCUGGACGUUCGUGCUCCUUCUCUUCAGUAUAUUCAGUUCAACAUCUAGUGCUUCUUUAG
RNAcentral lists this ribosomal RNA (450 nucleotides) under Triticum aestivum (bread wheat). Its description in RNAcentral is "partial small subunit ribosomal RNA". Lineage: Eukaryota; Viridiplantae; Streptophyta; Magnoliopsida; Poales; Poaceae. The record is from RNAcentral.